CUCUUUUUCUGUUCUUCUCUAUUUAAUUCUCUAUUUGCUGCCUACUGCAUUUCUUAAUCUGUCUUCUGCCAAAUGCUAACAGCAUGAUAUUUUGCAAUCAUCUAGGUGAAUACAAGAAAGACGAACUCCUAGAAGCUGCUAGGAGUGGUAAUGAAGAAAAACUAAUGGCUUUACUGACUCCUCUAAAUGUGAAUUGCCAUGCAAGUGAUGGGCGAAAGUCGACUCCUUUACAUCUAGCAGCGGGCUACAACAGAGUUCGAAUAGUUCAGCUUCUUCUUCAGCAUGGUGCUGAUGUUCAUGCAAAAGAUAAAGGUGGACUUGUGCCUCUUCAUAAUGCAUGUUCAUAUGGACAUUAUGAAGUCACAGAACUGCUACUAAAGCAUGGAGCUUGUGUUAAUGCCAUGGAUCUCUGGCAGUUUACUCCACUGCACGAGGCUGCUUCCAAGAACCGUGUAGAAGUCUGCUCUUUGUUACUUAGCCAUGGCGCUGAUCCUACAUUAGUCAACUGCCAUGGCAAAAGUGCUGUGGAUAUGGCUCCAACUCCGGAGCUUAGGGAGAGAUUGACUUAUGAAUUUAAAGGUCAUUCUUUACUACAAGCAGCCA
This 603-nucleotide small RNA is filed under the name Pan troglodytes (chimpanzee). Its description in RNAcentral is "retained intron". The record is from RNAcentral. Lineage: Eukaryota; Metazoa; Chordata; Mammalia; Primates; Hominidae.